UUGGUUUGAGGUUAUGAUUCGC
This 22-nucleotide non-coding RNA is filed under the name Rattus norvegicus (Norway rat). Lineage: Eukaryota; Metazoa; Chordata; Mammalia; Rodentia; Muridae. The record is from RNAcentral.